This is a long non-coding RNA of Siniperca chuatsi (mandarin fish), 1788 nucleotides long. RefSeq lists it as uncharacterized. The transcript has 4 exons. Lineage: Eukaryota; Metazoa; Chordata; Actinopteri; Centrarchiformes; Sinipercidae. The record is from RefSeq and is a predicted model, not a curated record.
GUUCGCUGGAUAUAUCCGACAUUUCUUCUGCCGAGGUAAACACCGAAUUGGAGUCCGGCGGUGAGGACAGAGAAGCGGACAAACCCGAGAAGAAAAGGGGCUGUUCGACCGGAGGAAGCGACAAAACACUGGAAAGGCGACCUGUGUCCCCUCCUGUUUCCAGACAGUACUCGCCUUCUUCGCGUGUUGCUGCGUUCAGACUCCGCUCCUGACCUUAGUAGACCCGAUCACCAGUGACUAAAGGUAGGCUGCUGCUCCCGGGGUAAAGAGUCCAGAUCGGGUGGGAAGGCUGGAAGUCUCCAUCAGAACAGGUUCAGAACCAGAGAACCUUUCGAACCGGAUGGGGAGGCAGGAACUGAUGUUGCAGACUAAAAGUUUGCAGGUUUCUUCCUCAGGUGUGUUUCAGCAGUUUGAAGCGGCGGCUGGCCAAUAGAGGGCGCUAGGGCGCCGCCCUCGAUGAGCCACAAAACCCCCAUUAAUAAUAAAUUAAACAAACUGUCAAUAUUUGUGUGUUUGAAAUAUGGAAUGCACCCAUAUGUGCGAAACAUGAUGAAAAUCAUCUGCGCAACAUGCGGGGACAGAUCCAGCGUGGGAGUGAGGGAUGUGACGCGCCGGUCUGGGAGAGGACGGAAGCACGAGGACACCAGGACACACACGGGUGGCUCCGUGCAGCCGAUGUUCGCCAUGUUAGGCAGAGUGGACAAACUGCACAGCUGGGCGGCGGGGAGGCAGCACCGAGAGCAGGCGGAUAAAAACAGGCACGUUUUGUCCAGAACAUUCGUCUGUGUGAAGCUUCGUGGGGCUUUUCUCGAGUCUGCCGUGCGAGGGCGUGACGAGACUGACUCCUCGGGGACGCUGGCAUGUGCAGGGUACUGGUGGAUCUAGCUGCCUCCCUAGACAGGCUGGAGGAGCAGCUUCACAGCUAACUUACCGUUUUAAAGUCGGUACAAACCGAGCUGUUGGACUGCAGGCUGUCAGUGCCAAAGGGUUACAUUCUGGAGGAAGUAAAGAGGCGAGACGGCUGACAUGUCACCCCCUCACCCCCCCUCACCCCCCCUCACUGCCAGCUGGAGCUGAGCUGAGCUUCGCCAACAGUAACCAUCCGCCCACACCGUCGCCACAGCGCUUCGAGUGGACGAAGAAUCAGCAGAGAACCGUAGUCCUGAUGUCACGGAGCAACAUGGGAUUCUGUGACCUGCUCAGGGGCCCCUGGACAUGUGGACAGGAGGAGCAGGUGAUCCAACCGCCAACCUUACAGUGGACAAUAAGGCAGUUUCUCAUUAAAAAAUGGGAGCCUUUGCACGACCCGACGCAGCCGCGUGAUGGGCAUUUUCUGGUGAACAAAGAAAGCUGGGAGGAUUUCUUUGAGGUAGUCGGCUCCGUCUGCAAGAAAUCAAUCAGCAACUGAUAAGGAAACAUGAAAAAGCACUGGCCUGAGAGCAAACCAGUAACAAGGUUUUUUGGGGGGGGAGUUCUUCCUCAUACGAAUCGAGGGUCUCAGGACAGAGGGUGUGUGCUGUUCAGAUUGUGAAGCCCCUUGAGGCAAAUUUGUGAUUUGUGAUCUUGGGCUACAUGAAUAAAAUUGACUACAGAUUUAAUAAAGGGCCGUCCCCAUGUGGAAAUAAAGUUAUUCACAAUUAUUUGAGUACAAUCUGCAGGCAGCUGACGUUCAAUUCUUGGAUGUCAGAGGAUCUUUCAACACAGCCUUGCAAAUGGGCCUUGUUUGUAACUGCAUUAGCACAAGACGAUAAUGUAACUUGAAUAAAUCAUAACAGUGAUGGAUCUUCA